AAUUUUGGACAAUGGGGGCAACCCUGAUCCAGCCAUUUCGCGGGUGUGAUGAAGGCCUUCGGGUUGUAAAGCACUUUUGGCAGGAAAGAAAUCGCGCGGGCUCAUAUCCUGCGUGGAUGACGGUACCUGCAGAAUGAGCCCCGGCCAACUCCGUGCCAGCAGCCGCGGUAACACGUAGGGUGCAAGCGUGAAACGGAAUUACUGGGCGUAAAGGGGGCGCAGGCGGUUCGGGAAGAAGGCUGUGAAAUCCCAGGGCUCAACCUUGGAAUGGCAUUCUUAACUACCGGGCUAGAGUGUGUCAGAGGGGGGUGGGAUUCCGCGUGUAGCAGUGAAAUGCGUAGAGAUGCAGAGGAACACCGAUGGCGAAGGCAGCCCCCUGGGAUAACACUGACGCUCAGGCACGAAAGCGUGGGUAGCAAAC
Molecule: ribosomal RNA, 421 nt
Filed under: uncultured bacterium
Lineage: Bacteria
Description: partial 16S ribosomal RNA
Rfam family: Bacterial small subunit ribosomal RNA
Source: RNAcentral